GGGUGCCCGACGGUAGUGUAUGAAUAAGCAUCGGCUAACUCCGUGCCAGCAGCCGCGGUAAUACGGAGGAUGCAAGCGUUAUCCGGGAUUCAUUGGGUUUAAAGGGUGCGUAGGCGGCUCUUUAAGUCAGUGGUGAAAUCUUGCCGCUUAACGGUAAAAUUGCCAUUGAUACUGAAGAGCUUGAGUACAGUUGAGGUAAGCGGAAUGUGUAGUGUAGCGGUGAAAUGCUUAGAUAUUACACAGAACACCGAUUGCGAAGGCAGCUUACUAAGCUGUUACUGACGCUGAUGCACGAAAGCGUGGGGAGCGAACAGGAUUAGAUACCCUGGUAGUCCACGCCGUAAACGAUGAUCACUCGCUGUAUGCGAUACACAGUAUGCGGCCAAGCGAAAGCAUUAAGUGAUCCACCUGGGGAGUACGAUCGCAAGGUUGAAACUCAAAGGAAUUGACGGGGGCCCGCACAAGCGGAGGAACAUGUGGUUUAAUUCGAUGAUACGCGAGGAACCUUACCUGGGCUUAAAUGGGGAACGACAGCUGCCGAAAGGUGGCCUUCUUCGGACGUUCUUCAAGGUGCUGCAUGGUUGUCGUCAGCUCGUGCCGUGAGGUGUCGGGUUAAGUCCCAUAACGAGCGCAACCCUUAUCGUUAGUUGCCAGCGGGUCAAGCCGGGGACUCUAGCGAGACUGCCACCGUAAGGUGUGAGGAAGGUGGGGAUGACGUCAAAUCAGCACGGCCCUUAUGUCCAGGGCUACACACGUGUUACAAUGGCCGAUACAAAGGGCAGCUACCAGGUGACUGGAUGCUAAUCUCUAAAGUCGGUCUCAGUUCGGAUCGAAGUCUGCAACCCGACUUCGUGAAGCUGGAUUCGCUAGUAAUCGCAUAUCAGCCAUGAUGCGGUGAAUACGUUCCCGGGCCUUGUACACACCGCCCGUCAAACAAUGGAAGCUGGGGGUACCUGAAGUCUGUAACCGCAAGGAGCGGCCUAGGGAAA
This 989-nucleotide ribosomal RNA is filed under the name uncultured bacterium. RNAcentral's name for it is "bacterial SSU rRNA". It matches the Rfam family "Bacterial small subunit ribosomal RNA", at positions 463 to 1465 of the family's 1533-position model. The record is from RNAcentral.